This 253-nucleotide ribosomal RNA is filed under the name uncultured bacterium. Its description in RNAcentral is "partial 16S ribosomal RNA". It matches the Rfam family "Bacterial small subunit ribosomal RNA", at positions 524 to 776 of the family's 1533-position model. The record is from RNAcentral.
UACGUAGGGUGCAAGCGUUGUCCGGAAUUAUUGGGCGUAAAGAGCUCGUAGGCGGUCUGUUGCGUCUGCUGUGAAAACUCGGGGCUUAACCCCGGGCCUGCAGUGGGUACGGGCAGACUAGAGUGCGGUAGGGGAGACUGGAAUUCCUGGUGUAGCGGUGAAAUGCGCAGAUAUCAGGAGGAACACCGGUGGCGAAGGCGGGUCUCUGGACCACAACUGACACUGAGAGACGAAAGCCAGGGGAGCAAACGGG